This 460-nucleotide ribosomal RNA is filed under the name uncultured bacterium. RNAcentral describes it as "partial 16S ribosomal RNA". It matches the Rfam family "Bacterial small subunit ribosomal RNA", at positions 338 to 795 of the family's 1533-position model. The record is from RNAcentral.
CCUACGGGAGGCUGCAGUGAGGAAUAUUGGUCAAUGGACGAGAGUCUGAACCCUCCCCUUCUCUUUCCUGAUGCCUGCCCUCUGGGUUGUAAACUUCUUUUAUAUGGGAAUAAAAUGUUCCACGUGUGGGAUUUUGUAUGUACCAUAUGAAUAAGGAUCGGCUAACUCCGUGCCAGCAGCCGCGGUAAUACGGAGGAUCCGAGCGUUAUCCGGAUUUAUUGGGUUUAAAGGGAGCGUAGGUGGAUUGUUAAGUCAGUUGUGAAAGUUUGCGGCUCAACCGUAAAAUUGCAGUUGAAACUGGCAGUCUUGAGUACAGUAGAGGUGGGCGGAAUGCGUGGUGUAGCGGUGAAAUGCUUAGAUAUCACGAAGAACUCCGAUUGCGAAGGCAGCUCACUGGACUGCAACUGACACUGAGGCUCGAAAGUGUGGGUAUCAAACAGGAUUAGAUACCCGGGUAGUC